RNAcentral lists this ribosomal RNA (1264 nucleotides) under uncultured Bacillus sp. RNAcentral's name for it is "bacterial SSU rRNA". It matches the Rfam family "Bacterial small subunit ribosomal RNA", at positions 81 to 1332 of the family's 1533-position model. The record is from RNAcentral. Lineage: Bacteria; Bacillati; Bacillota; Bacilli; Caryophanales; Bacillaceae.
GCUCCCGGAUGUUAGCGGCGGACGGGUGAGUAACACGUGGGUAACCUGCCUGUAAGACUGGGAUAACUCCGGGAAACCGGAGCUAAUACCGGAUAGUUCCUUGAACCGCAUGGUUCAAGGAUGAAAGACGGUUUCGGCUGUCACUUACAGAUGGACCCGCGGCGCAUUAGCUAGUUGGUGAGGUAACGGCUCACCAAGGCGACGAUGCGUAGCCGACCUGAGAGGGUGAUCGGCCACACUGGGACUGAGACACGGCCCAGACUCCUACGGGAGGCAGCAGUAGGGAAUCUUCCGCAAUGGACGAAAGUCUGACGGAGCAACGCCGCGUGAGUGAUGAAGGUUUUCGGAUCGUAAAGCUCUGUUGUUAGGGAAGAACAAGUGCAAGAGUAACUGCUUGCACCUUGACGGUACCUAACCAGAAAGCCACGGCUAACUACGUGCCAGCAGCCGCGGUAAUACGUAGGUGGCAAGCGUUGUCCGGAAUUAUUGGGCGUAAAGGGCUCGCAGGCGGUUUCUUAAGUCUGAUGUGAAAGCCCCCGGCUCAACCGGGGAGGGUCAUUGGAAACUGGGAAACUUGAGUGCAGAAGAGGAGAGUGGAAUUCCACGUGUAGCGGUGAAAUGCGUAGAGAUGUGGAGGAACACCAGUGGCGAAGGCGACUCUCUGGUCUGUAACUGACGCUGAGGAGCGAAAGCGUGGGGAGCGAACAGGAUUAGAUACCCUGGUAGUCCACGCCGUAAACGAUGAGUGCUAAGUGUUAGGGGGUUUCCGCCCCUUAGUGCUGCAGCUAACGCAUUAAGCACUCCGCCUGGGGAGUACGGUCGCAAGACUGAAACUCAAAGGAAUUGACGGGGGCCCGCACAAGCGGUGGAGCAUGUGGUUUAAUUCGAAGCAACGCGAAGAACCUUACCAGGUCUUGACAUCCUCUGACAACCCUAGAGAUAGGGCUUUCCCUUCGGGGACAGAGUGACAGGUGGUGCAUGGUUGUCGUCAGCUCGUGUCGUGAGAUGUUGGGUUAAGUCCCGCAACGAGCGCAACCCUUGAUCUUAGUUGCCAGCAUUUAGUUGGGCACUCUAAGGUGACUGCCGGUGACAAACCGGAGGAAGGUGGGGAUGACGUCAAAUCAUCAUGCCCCUUAUGACCUGGGCUACACACGUGCUACAAUGGACAGAACAAAGGGCUGCGAGACCGCAAGGUUUAGCCAAUCCCACAAAUCUGUUCUCAGUUCGGAUCGCAGUCUGCAACUCGACUGCGUGAAGCUGGAAU